CUCCGGUUGAUCCCGCCGGACCCGACUGCUAUCAGAGUGGGACUAAGCCAUGCGAGUCAACAUAGCAAUAUGUGGCAUACGGCUCAGUAACACGUAGUCAACAUGCCCAGGGGACGUGGAUAACCUCGGGAAACUGAGGAUAAACCGCGAUAGGUCAUCACUUCUGGAAUGGGUAAUGACUUAAAUCUAUAUGGCCCCUGGAUUGGACUGCGGCCGAUCAGGCUGUUGGUGAGGUAAUGGCCCACCAAACCUGUAACCGGUACGGGCUCUGAGAGGAGGAGCCCGGAGAUGGGCACUGAGACAAGGGCCCAGGCCCUAUGGGGCGCAGCAGGCGCGAAACCUCUGCAAUAGGCGAAAGCUUGACAGGGUUACUCUGAGUGAUUUCCGUUAAGGAGAUCUUUUGGCACCUCUAAAAAUGGUGCAGAAUAAGGGGUGGGCAAGUCUGGUGUCAGCCGCCGCGGUAAUACCAGCACCCCGAGUGGUCGGGACGUUUAUUGGGCCUAAAGCAUCCGUAGCCGGUUCUACAAGUCUUCCGUUAAAUCCACCUGCUUAACAGAUGGGCUGCGGAAGAUACUAUAGAGCUAGGAGGCGGGAGAGGCAGACGGUAUUCAGUGGGUAGGGGUAAAAUCCUCUGAUCCAUUGAGGACCACCAGUGGCGAAGGCGGUUUGCCAGAACACGUUCGACGGUGAGGGAUGAAAGCUGGGGGAGCAAACCGGAUUAGAUACCCGGGUAGUCCCAGCUGUAAACGAUGCAAACUCGGUGAUGCAUUGGCUUAUGGCUAAUGCAGUGCCGCAGGGAAGCCGUUAAGUUUGCCGCCUGGGAAGUACGGACGCAAGUCUGAAACUUAAAGGAAUUGGCGGGGGAGCA
RNAcentral lists this ribosomal RNA (868 nucleotides) under uncultured archaeon. Its description in RNAcentral is "bacterial SSU rRNA". It matches the Rfam family "Archaeal small subunit ribosomal RNA", at positions 1 to 878 of the family's 1478-position model. The record is from RNAcentral.